CGUAGGUGACUAGCGUUGUCCGGAUUUACUGGGCGUAAAGAGCGCGCAGGCGGUCGUUCAAGUCGAGUGUGAAAGCCCCCGGCUCAACUGGGGAGGGUCAUUCGAUACUGAUCGACUCGAAGGCAGGAGAGGGAAGCGGAAUUCCCGGUGUAGUGGUGAAAUGCGUAGAUAUCGGGAGGAACGCCAGUGGCGAAGGCGGCUUCCUGGCCUGUUCUUGACGCUGAGGCGCGAAAGCUAGGGGAGCAAACGGGAUU
RNAcentral lists this ribosomal RNA (254 nucleotides) under uncultured bacterium. RNAcentral's name for it is "partial 16S ribosomal RNA". It matches the Rfam family "Bacterial small subunit ribosomal RNA", at positions 526 to 779 of the family's 1533-position model. The record is from RNAcentral.